AUCCAUUUAUAUAUUCACUGGUGAUGGAUGAUAGUUAUACAAUUAUGUUCAUUCAUUCAGAGAUCCGAUUCAGAUAUCUAGAGCCAGAUGCUCAUUAUUUUAUUUUACCUUCACCUGGCUUUUAUGAUUAGAGCUUUUUUAAUUCUCUAUCCUAUCAUUCCAGAUACUGAGGCAACUGGAGCUCCAAUAAGAAGAAGCAGCUUAAGCUCCGUGAGGCCAAGAAGAAGCACCACACAGUCACAGAAAAAGUCAGUGACCUGACUAAGGAGAGAGACUCCCUCUGCCUACAAGUUGGUCAAAAUACAGAUGACAGUGGGACAAUUGACACAUCUUCCCCGGCCAACUCGUCUCCUGGUGCAUCUUUUUUCUCUUCAUCCUCCAGUCCAUCCAACUCCUCUUCAUCCUCUUCAUCCAGCUCCUCAUCCUCAUCAACUGAUUCUUCCGACUCCGACAAGAAACCGAAGAAAAGACGCAAGAAGAAAAAGAAGCAUCACCACCAGAGUCACAAGAAAAAGGAAGAAAAAAGAGAAGGAAAAAAGGCAACAUGGCAAGCAGAGAGGUUGCAGGAUCAAGAUCCAGUUUCCGAG
Molecule: long non-coding RNA, 587 nt
Organism: Solea senegalensis (Senegalese sole)
Lineage: Eukaryota; Metazoa; Chordata; Actinopteri; Pleuronectiformes; Soleidae
Exons: 3
Source: RefSeq, a predicted model, not a curated record